Long non-coding RNA from Oncorhynchus keta (chum salmon), 1830 nucleotides. RefSeq lists it as uncharacterized. The record is from RefSeq and is a predicted model, not a curated record. The transcript has 2 exons. Lineage: Eukaryota; Metazoa; Chordata; Actinopteri; Salmoniformes; Salmonidae.
AAUAUAUUUGAGUUAUUUAACUAUUCAUUAAUUGGUCCACAAGUCAAACUGACAGAUAGUUGAGAAUGUCAGUGUGAACUUCACCUGCAACAUCACUGAUAAUGUAGAAAGUUUAAACUUUUUCACUUUGCACUGCCCGCCAGAAUCAUAUCACCUAUGCAUAGUUACAUCGCUUACGUUACCACAAGUUGCUCUCUGUUGAUAAUGAAUGACUUCUGCCAUUUUAUCAUCUCACCUUUUCUCGCUGAUAUCAUAUCAAAUGAUAGUGGGACAUUGUCGGUCAGCAUUGAUAAUCAUUAACUGUAUGUCCUCUUCCUGACUAAAAUCUGUUUCUUUAUAGUUAAUGUACAUGCCAAGAAACGUGGUUAGUAGUAUUUGUAUGUGAUCAUUUAAAGCUUCUGUUUGAUCAUGUUUCAUGUCCAAAAUUGGAAGAACUUCAGUUUCUAAUGGAAUAAUCUUCUUUCUUAUGUCUGCAGAAUGUCUCAAGCAACACCUAGUUCCUAUCACCCUAAUCCCUGAAACAGCACAUUAUUCUCUAAAUGUCAAAGACAAACACUUACAAAAGAGAAGGAAGAACAGACAUUAAAAGGUCAUGCUGUCCUGGGAAAUCUGCAAAUAACAGGGACAUCUUACUUUGUUGUGGAUGUGGAACAAUCAUGGAUUGUACGAGUGGUCAAGAUGUCCAUCAACAAGGAGAAGAAAGUAAGGUUUUGACCUAAAGAUGGUGCCUGGACUCUGAGGUGUGUGGAGGGUAAAGUAAGAGUUUAUGAUGGGACUUGUGUUUCUCUCUUCCGCACUGACAAAGAGAAUGAGUUGAGGGUUGGGGUAGUUCAAAUCCCCGAGCUGACAAGGUACAAACCUGUCGUUCUGCCUGAACAGGCAGUUAACCCACUGUUCCUAGGCCGUCAUUGAAAAUAAGAAUUUGUUCUUAACUGACUUGCCUAGUUAAAUAAAGGUAAAAUAAAAUACAUUUGUAGAUUAUGAGAAGAAUAUAGUCUCCUUUACAACAUGACCAACAGCAAUAAUACUCAUAUCUACUCUUAUGUAGAAUGCAACUUCAGAGAUGAACCCCUUCAUCCAAUCUUUAGUGCAAGCUCAACCCUCAGGAUCAUUCAUCAUUAAGGUGCUAAUGUUCAGAGUGGAGAAUGUCAAGAGGUUCAGAGUGGAGAACGUCAAGAGGUUCAGAGUGGAGAAUGUCAAGGGGUUCAUAGACCAAGAAGUGACUCAAUAUGAUAGAUGAUAGCAAUGUUAUCAACCUAGUGUUUCCACCAAUCCAACCAGAUUAGAUCACUUUAAGAAAGAGAGAGGAAAGAAGAAUUCAAAGUAGUUCAAACAGGACCCAGGUGUGAAUCAAUCCCUGUCUGACUGGAAGGGACAGAUGGAAACCAGCAGUACCUAGAGGGACAUAUUUAAGUAUCCCUGGUCUAAUGCAUUGGCCAAUGAUAUGAUCAUUAUUGAUUGUAUUGGUGGUCACAGAGCUCUGCUGUGAAUCUCUGAAAUCUUAUUUCUGUUAGUAAUUGACAUUUGGUCAAUUGUUAGGGUGCUUUGCCUUUUGAAGUUGUUGUCCAGGCCCUUCAAUGUAUCCACUUCAUCUGUUCCUUUGUUAACUUUUUAUACCAGUUUUGUAAAGGACCGUUGUAAUGCAAGGGCACAUUUCUGCCAAAGCAGACUAUAAAGUAUCUUCAAAGCCCCUAACUAGACCAUCAUAUCUUUACAGUAAGCUAUGUGCUAAAAUGCAUGGGAAUGAUGUUAGAUGUGCUAAAUUUCCCUGUAAAAUAUGCCAAAUAUGUCUAUAUUAUAUCAUAAUAAAAUAUAAUUGUAUUCAUUGCA